Long non-coding RNA from Antechinus flavipes (yellow-footed antechinus), 301 nucleotides. RefSeq lists it as uncharacterized. The transcript is spliced from 2 exons. Lineage: Eukaryota; Metazoa; Chordata; Mammalia; Dasyuromorphia; Dasyuridae. The record is from RefSeq and is a predicted model, not a curated record.
UUCUGCUGGGCUAACUCUCCAACAUGACCUUUCUACAUUCUUCUGGUCUCUGGGAUCAUCAUCACUUCAUAGAUGCCGCUCAUAGCUCUCUUACAGCUAGGCUGUGUUUCAGAUAGGAACAUGACAUCAUGGAGAGCAUGCAAGAGGGUUGGAUUUCAGUGAGGAAGGGUGGACAAGGUCACCUGCCUCCUUUUCCCUCCAGAGCCAUCUGGGUCCAGUGGGAAAAUAUAUAAAUCAACAAGAAUGCAGAUAGCCCUGAAUGCAAUGGGAGACUUUAGUUUAAUAAACAUUCUGUAAGUGA